UACCAGCUCUCCGAGUAGUGUGGAUGUUUAUUGGGCCUAAAGCAUCCGUAGCUUGCUAAGCAAGUCCCCUGUUAAAUCCACCGAUUUAAUCGUUGGAUUGCGGGGGAUACUGUUUGGCUAGGGGACGGGAGAGGCCGACGGUAUUUCCGGGGUAGGGGUGAAAUCCUAUAAUCCCGGGAAGACCACCAGUGGCGAAGGCUGUCGGCUAGAACGCGCCCGACGGUGAGGGAUGAAAGCUGGGGGAGCGAACCGGAUUAGAUACCCGGGUAGUCCCAGCUGUAAACGAUGCAGGCUAGGUGUUUGGGCGGCCACGAGCCGCCCUAGUGCCGCAGGGAAGCUGUUAAGCCUGCCGCCUGGGGAGUACGGCCGCAAGGCUAGAAACUUAAAGGAAUUGGGCGGGGGAGCACCACGAAGGGGUGAAGCUUGCGGUUU
RNAcentral lists this ribosomal RNA (432 nucleotides) under uncultured archaeon. Its description in RNAcentral is "bacterial SSU rRNA". It matches the Rfam family "Archaeal small subunit ribosomal RNA", at positions 474 to 903 of the family's 1478-position model. The record is from RNAcentral.